This 76-nucleotide transfer RNA is filed under the name Candidatus Phytoplasma australiense. RNAcentral describes it as "tRNA-Val (TAC) (tRNA-Val-TAC-1-1)". It matches the Rfam family "tRNA". Rfam says of the family: Transfer RNA (tRNA) molecules are approximately 80 nucleotides in length. Their secondary structure includes four short double-helical elements and three loops (D, anti-codon, and T loops). Lineage: Bacteria; Bacillati; Mycoplasmatota; Mollicutes; Acholeplasmatales; Acholeplasmataceae. RNAcentral also lists the same sequence under 2 other names. The record is from RNAcentral.
AGAGGAUUAGCUCAGCUGGGAGAGCGUCUGCCUUACAAGCAGAAUGUCGGGGGUUCGAAUCCCUCAUCCUCUACCA